Molecule: ribosomal RNA, 492 nt
Filed under: uncultured bacterium
Lineage: Bacteria
Description: partial 16S ribosomal RNA
Rfam family: Bacterial small subunit ribosomal RNA
Source: RNAcentral
AGUGAACGCUGGCGGUAGGCCUAACACAUGCGAGUCGAACGGCAGCACAGUAAGAGCUUGCUCUUACGGGUGGCGAGUGGCGGACGGGUGAGGAAUACAUCGGAAUCUACUUUUUCGUGGGGGAUAACGUAGGGAAACUUACGCUAAUACCGCAUACGACCUACGGGUGAAAGCAGGGGAUCUUCGGACCUUGCGCGAUUGAAUGAGCCGAUGUAGGAUUAGCUAGUUGGCGGGGUAAAGGCCCACCAAGGCGACGAUCCGUAGCUGGUCUGAGAGGAUGAUCAGCCACACUGGAACUGAGACACGGUCCAGACUCCUACGGGAGGCAGCAGUGGGGAAUAUUGGACAAUGGGCGCAAGCCUGAUCCAGCCAUACCGCGUGGGUGAAGAAGGCCUUCGGGUUGUAAAGCCCUUUUGUUGGGAAAGAAAAGCAGCAGGUUAAUACCCCGCUGUUCUGACGGUACCCAAAGAAUAAGCACCGGCUAACUUCGUG